UUCAACGGCCGCGGUAUUCUGACCGUGCAAAGGUAGCGCAAUCACUCGUCCCUUAAAUAAGGACCUGUAUGAAUGGUUAGACGAGGGCUUAACUGUCUCCCCUUUCUAGUCAGUGAAAUUGAUCUAUCCGUGCAGAAGCGGGUAUUAUUAUACAAGACGAGAAGACCCUUUGGAGCUUAAGGUACAAGACCUAAUUAUGUAAAAAGAACUAAUAAAACACAAAAACCUAGUAAAAAUAUUUCUUUACCUUCGGUUGGGGCGACCAUGGAGAAGAAAAGAGCCUCCAAGUGGACCGGGAACAAUUUCCUAGAAUUAAGAGAAACAUCUCUAACUCACAGAACAUCUGACCAAUAAUGAUCCAACCACCUGGUUGAUCAACGAACCAAGUUACCCUAGGGAUAACAGCGCAAUCCUCUCCAAGAGUCCAUAUACGACGAGGGGGUUUACGACCUCGAUGUUG
Molecule: ribosomal RNA, 460 nt
Filed under: Neochela dadiburjori (dadio)
Lineage: Eukaryota; Metazoa; Chordata; Actinopteri; Cypriniformes; Danionidae
Description: partial 16S ribosomal RNA
Rfam family: Bacterial large subunit ribosomal RNA
Source: RNAcentral